This 253-nucleotide ribosomal RNA is filed under the name uncultured bacterium. RNAcentral describes it as "partial 16S ribosomal RNA". It matches the Rfam family "Bacterial small subunit ribosomal RNA", at positions 524 to 776 of the family's 1533-position model. The record is from RNAcentral.
GACAGAGGGUGCAAACGUUGUUCGGAAUUACUGGGCGUAAAGCGUGCGUAGACGGUUAUGUAAGUCGGGUGUGAAAGCCCCGGGCUCAACCUGGGAAUUGCAUUCGAGACUGAAUAGCUAGGGUACGGUAGAGGGAAGCGGAAUUUCCGGUGUAGCGGUGAAAUGCGUAGAUAUCGGAAGGAACAUCAGUGGCGAAAGCGGCUUCCUGGACCAGUACCGACGUUCAGGCACGAAAGCGUGGGGAGCAAACAGG